This is an RNA transcript of Ylistrum balloti, 2798 nucleotides long. RefSeq lists it as uncharacterized. The record is from RefSeq and is a predicted model, not a curated record. The transcript is spliced from 10 exons. NCBI's taxonomy places the organism in Eukaryota, Metazoa, Mollusca, Bivalvia, Pectinida, Pectinidae.
CGGUUGAUAUCGCUCGCUCCAAACUCCAAAGGUAAUCAAAACGGUUUAUGUUUAUGUAAACUAUUAACAUGAUGCCAGGGUAUCACCAUUGACACUGAAAAGAAGGUUUCUCAGGUUUGUGAUGAUGCUUGACUUACUUCUGGUGUAGCUGUCAUCCACAGCAUCAUUAUGGGUGUUCAGGGGCUGUUGUCUGCCUGUAUGAGGCAGAGAAAUGCUUGUGUUGAUGAAGUUGACCUUGUACAGGUGGCUCGAGAUCAAGGCGGAAUAGAGAUACUUGUAGACUACUACUCUUUUGAGAUGUAUGUUUCGGAGCAGUUUUGGUUUUCAUUGUGUCAUCACCAAAGUAAUGAUUACCUGUGGAUCAUGGGGGGUGAAUAUGCCUCCAUGCACGCUUACCUGAGAAAGCUUAUCUUAGACUUGAAAGCUUUACGCAUCAAUUUAGUGUUUUUUGUGGACGGUGCCAAAGGGGCAUCCACAGAAACGACUCGCGAAAAAAUGGAUACAUGGAUUGAAAGACAUCAUCGUGAUAUCGGAAAGAUAAGCAACAUCAUGCAAGUAUGUUGUGGUGCACUACCUAUCACUGAACUUCAGGAAAAUGUGCGACCACUUCUACAGGAGGAACAAUUUAUACACACCCUGAAACAAUGUGAUUGUGAGGUUUAUCUAGAUCCGGCAGGAGAAGCUGACUGCGUCAUAGCACAAGCUCUGCAUCAGCGUGAGAAAGCUUUCGCAGUGUUCAGCAAUGACUCAGACUUCUGUAUAUUCAAAGACAGCACAUUUAUUCCUAACACACAGUUUGACCUAAUGGGAGACCUCAAGCUAGGCGAAGCAUGUGACAUGCCUAUUAAACCAGAGCGUUUGAUAGUUGGAGUAAUCACAACAAAUCGGGUCAUGUCCAUUCUGGGUCUUCCCAGACAUGACCUCUUGGUUGAACUAAGUAUAGUAGCAGGAAAUGAUUUCACCGGUCCGUACAUGAGAAAUGGACUUCAACGCAAACUUGAGAUCAAAGGUCGUGGGAUUGAAGGUGUGGCUGAAUGGAUCAGAGAGCAGUCUGUACCGGAAACUCACCCAGUCUUUGCUCAGGAAAUGAGACACAAUAUGAGAUUUCGUGGAGCAGUAGUCCACAGUCGUAACUUCUACAACCUUGGAAUUCCCCCAGAGAAACCCAGCAAGACUGGGUACCUGUCCCAGAUUUUGGAGAAGGGAAUUCGAGAAGGUCGCUUUGUUGCUAGGGUGAUGGGAAUACAUAACAACUUCUAUUGGCAUCGUGCAGUCGCAGAGGACAUGAAUCAAGGCCAGCCAUGUGCCGAGGUUGCCUUGACUCCACUCAGAGCUCAUGUGUACAGAAUCGUUCUUCAGCGACAUGAGAGUAUGGUUGAGGAGUAUGGCCGUAGUCCAUGGGAACCUCUAAGAACAGCAGGGGUUUUGGCCGUUGAAGAUGACAUGAUUCCUUCUAUAAACCGUAUACAACCAAAUAAGAUAUUCUGGAAUCUCAAACAUUUCCAUUACAUUAUGUCACACAUGGAACAAAGAACAGGGUCAGAGAGUAAAUGGUUUGAACGCUACGGAAGGAAAACAGGCUUUUCAGUGUAUGUUCUACGGUACUUCCUAUUACUUAACUGGGGUCGCAACCUGUAUGUGACAGAGAAUGAGUUUCUGGCCUUACUGGCGAUGAUGUUGGGACGUCCAUCAGCAGCUAAAUAUCAAGGGUUAUGUAUACGGCCGACACCACGAUGUGUCACCUUGGGCAACUGGUACCAGGACCUAUACUACCAUGCCUACUGUUUCCUGGGAAAAUUGUUGAACAUUAGUCAUGAAUUCCCGCUGCCCAGUGAGGUCUACUCUGGGGCAGUGUGGACAGCCUUCUACACCUGUGCCAAGGAUGAAACUUUCAAGGCAGCACUGCAUCAAGUACCUUUUGAUGUGUUGAGAAAAACCCAAGGAGAAAUGAACGACAUUAUAAAAGAAAAGCGUCACAUGAUUCGAUACAUAGCAGAAGGGGUUUUCCCUUUUGAUGAUCGAUUCUGAUUGGUUGAGAUCAGACACAUUACUAUCAAGAGGACGAGAUAUUUUGAUAAUGAACUCUGAUUGGAUGGUGGUAUCGUGAAUUGCUACCAAAAGGACAAGAUAUUUUGAUGAUGAACUCUGAUUGGAAGGUGGUAUUGUGAAUUGCUACCAAAAGGACAAGAUAUUUUGAUAAUGAACUCUGAUUGGAUGGUGGUAUUGUGAAUUGCUACCAAAAGGAUAAGAUAUUUUGAUAAUGAACUCUGAUUGGAAGGUGGUAUUGUGAAUUGCUACCAAAAGGACAAGAUAUUUUGAUAAUAAACUCUGAUUGGAAGGUGGUAUUGUGAAUUGCUACCAAAAGGACAAGAUAUUUUGAUGAUGAACCCUGAUUGGAUGGUGGAUUGUGAAUUGCUACCAAAAGGACAAGAUAUUUUGAUAAUGAACUCUGAUUGGAUGGUGGUAUUGUGAAUUGCUACCAAAAGGACAAGAUAUUUUGAUAAUAAACUCUGAUUGGAAGGUGGUAUUGUGAAUUGCUACCAAAAGGACAAGAUAUUUUGAUAAUAAACUCUGAUUGGAUGGUGGUAUUGUGAAUUGCUACCAAAAGGACAAGAUAUUUUGAUGAUGAACUCUGAUUGGAUGGUGGAUUGUGAAUUGCUACCAAAAGGACAAGAUAUUUUGAUGAUGAACUCUGAUUGGAAGGUGGUAUUGUGAAUUGCUACCAAAAGGACAAGAUAUUUUGAUAAUGAACUCUGAUUGGAAGGUGGUAUCGUGAAUUGCUACCAAAAGGACAAGAU